GUGCUUGCUUCGGCAGCACGUAUACUCAUAUUGGAACAAUACAAAGAAGAUUAGCAUGUCCCCUGCACACGGAUGAUAUGCAAAUUCAUGAAGCGUUCCCUAUUUUU
Small nuclear RNA from Ailuropoda melanoleuca (giant panda), 107 nucleotides. NCBI's taxonomy places the organism in Eukaryota, Metazoa, Chordata, Mammalia, Carnivora, Ursidae. The record is from Ensembl.